RNAcentral lists this ribosomal RNA (253 nucleotides) under uncultured bacterium. RNAcentral's name for it is "partial 16S ribosomal RNA". It matches the Rfam family "Bacterial small subunit ribosomal RNA", at positions 524 to 776 of the family's 1533-position model. The record is from RNAcentral.
UACGAAGGGGGCUAGCGUUGCUCGGAAUCACUGGGCGUAAAGCGCACGUAGGCGGAUCUUUAAGUCAGGGGUGAAAUCCUGGAGCUCAACUCCAGAACUGCCUUUGAUACUGGCGAUCUUGAGUCCGGGAGAGGUGAGUGGAACUGCGAGUGUAGAGGUGAAAUUCGUAGAUAUUCGCAAGAACACCAGUGGCGAAGGCGGCUCACUGGCCCGGUACUGACGCUGAGGUGCGAAAGCGUGGGGAGCAAACAGG